GAUGAACGCUAGCGGGAGGCCUAACACAUGCAAGCCGAGCGGUAGAGUUCCUUCGGGAACUUGAGAGCGGCGUACGGGUGCGUAACACGUGUGCAACCUACCUUUAUCUGGGGGAUAGCCUUUCGAAAGGAAGAUUAAUACCCCAUAAUAUAAUGAUUGGCAUCAAUUAUUAUUGAAAACUCCGGUGGAUAGAGCUGGGCACGCGCAAGAUUAGAUAGUUGGUGAGGUAACGGCUCACCAAGUCAAUGAUCUUUAGGGGUCCUGAGAGGGGGAUCCCCCACGCUAGUACCAAGACACGGACCAGACUCCUACGAGAGGCAGUAGUGAGGAAUAUAAGACUGUGAGUGAAAGUCUGAUCCAGCCAUCCCACGUGAAGGAAGACGGUCAUGUGGAUUGUAAUCUUCUAUUGUACAAGGAGUAACCUAAUCUCGUGGGGGUAGCUGAAGGUCCUGUACGAAUAAGCACCGGCUCACUCCGUG
RNAcentral lists this ribosomal RNA (479 nucleotides) under uncultured bacterium. RNAcentral describes it as "partial 16S ribosomal RNA". It matches the Rfam family "Bacterial small subunit ribosomal RNA", at positions 28 to 507 of the family's 1533-position model. The record is from RNAcentral.